RNAcentral lists this ribosomal RNA (253 nucleotides) under uncultured prokaryote. RNAcentral's name for it is "partial 16S ribosomal RNA". It matches the Rfam family "Bacterial small subunit ribosomal RNA", at positions 524 to 776 of the family's 1533-position model. The record is from RNAcentral.
GACGAACCGUGCGAACGUUGUUCGGAAUCACUGGGCUUAAAGGGCGCGUAGGCGGCUUGGCAAGUCAGGGGUGAAAUCUUUCGGCUCAACCGGAAAAGUGCCUCUGAUACUGCCAGGCUCGAGGGAGGUAGGGGCAAGUGGAACUUCCGGUGGAGCGGUGAAAUGCGUUGAUAUCGGAAGGAACGCCGGUGGCGAAAGCGACUUGCUGGCCCUCUUCUGACGCUGAGGCGCGAAAGCUAGGGGAGCAAACGGG